AUGCCCUGUCUCUGGCUACGUCCUGGUCAUGUCCUGUCCCUGACUACGUCCCAGUCAGGUUCUAUCUCUGGCUAUGUCCUGGUCGGGUUCUGUCUCUGGCUACGUCCUGGUCGGGUUCUGUCUCUGGCUACGUCCCGGUCGUGUCCUGUCUCUGGCUACGCCCUGGUCGGGUUCUGUCUCUGGCUACGUCCCGGUCGUGUCCUGUCUCUGGCUACGCCCUGGUCAGGUUCUGUCCCUGACUACGUCCCGGUCAGGUUCUGUCUCUGGCUACGUCCUGGUCAUGUCCUGUCUCUGGCUACGUCCCGGUCAGGUUCUGUCCCUGACUACGUCCCGGUCAGGUUCUGUCUCUGGCUACGUCCUGGUCAGGUUCUGUCCCUGACUACGUCCCGGUCAGGUUCUGUCUCUGGCUACGUCCUGGUCAUGUCCUGUCUCUGGCUACGUCCCGGUCAGGUUCUGUCCCUGACUACGUCCUGGUCAGGUUCUGUCCCUGACUACGUCCUGGUCGGGUUCUGUCUCUGGCUACGUCCCAGUCAGGUUCUGUCCCUGGCUACGUCCAAGUCAGGUUCUGUCUCUGGCUACGUCCCGGUCAUGUCCUGUCUCUGGCUACGUCCCGGUCAGGUUCUGUCCCUGACUACGUCCUGGUCAGGUUCUGUCCCUGACUACGUCCUGGUCGGGUUCUGUCUCUGGCUACGUCCCAGUCAGGUUCUGUCCCUGGCUACGUCCAAGUCAGGUUCUGUCUCUGGCUACGUCCCAGUCAGGUUCUAUCUCUGGCUAUGUCCUGGUCGGGUUCUGUCUCUGGCUACGUCCUGGUCAUGUCCUGUCUCUGACUACGUCCCGGUCAGGUUCUGUCCCUGGCUACGUCCAAGUCAGGUUCUGUCCCUGACUACGUCCCAGUCAGGUGUCCUGUCUCUGGCUACGCCCUGGUCGGGUUCUGUCUCUGGCUACGCCCUGGUCGGGUUCUGUCUCUGGCUACGCCCUGGUCGGGUUCUGUCCCUGGCUACGUCCUGGUCGUGCCCUGUCUCUGGCUACGUCCUGGUCAGGUUCUGUCUCUGGCUACGUCCUGGUCGUGCCCUGUCUCUGGCUACGUCCUGGUCAUGUCCUGUCCCUGACUACGUCCCAGUCAGGUUCUAUCUCUGGCUAUGUCCUGGUCGGGUUCUGUCUCUGGCUACGUCCUGGUCAUGUCCUGUCUCUGACUACGUCCCGGUCAGGUUCUGUCCCUGGCUACGUCCAAGUCAGGUUCUGUCUCUGGCUACGUCCUAG
This 1260-nucleotide long non-coding RNA is filed under the name Betta splendens (Siamese fighting fish). Its description in RNAcentral is "lncRNA (ENSBSLG00000002530.1)". Lineage: Eukaryota; Metazoa; Chordata; Actinopteri; Anabantiformes; Osphronemidae. The record is from RNAcentral.